CACGCAGGAGGUGAAGAGCACUGCACGUGGCGCGCCCAGAGGAGAGGAAUCAGCACUUUCAGAGCUGUUACUGUAGCUGCAGUACCAGUAAUUGCAACCUACCAAGAAUAAACAGCAGCCAGAGAUCCUCAAGUGGUUGCUCCUGUCUGCAUCUCCAAGCUCGGGGCAUACCGGCCAUCAGUGGCGGACUGGCCAUCGGGACGUUCGGGACGAAUCCCGAUGGGCCGGUCGGGCCACUCGGCCCACUUCGGUACCGGCAGGGGCGGACUGACCAUCUGUAGAAUCACCGAACGGCCGGGUCGGUUUGCUGUUUUUAAACGGCAUCAUUGAAGUUGCGCUGACAGGCGACAGAGGUCCACCGUUUCCCAGUCCGCCCCUGCCGGCCAUCAUCUACUCUAGGUAAUACACUGACUAUG
Trematomus bernacchii (emerald rockcod) is the source of this 416-nucleotide long non-coding RNA. RefSeq lists it as uncharacterized. The transcript is spliced from 3 exons. NCBI's taxonomy places the organism in Eukaryota, Metazoa, Chordata, Actinopteri, Perciformes, Nototheniidae. The record is from RefSeq and is a predicted model, not a curated record.